GGACUACUCGGGUAUCUAAUCCUGUUUGCUCCCCAUGCUUUCGUGCCUCAGUGUCAGUCUCUAUCCAGAAAGUCGCCUUCGCCACUGAUGUUCCUUCCGAUAUCUACGCAUUUCACCGCUACACCGGAAAUUCCACUUUCCUCUACAGGACUCUAGCUACACAGUAUCAGGCGCAGUCCCCAGGUUAAGCCCAGGAAUUUCACACCUAACUUACAUAACCACCUACGCACCCUUUACGCCCAGUAAUUCCGAUUAACGCUCGCACCCUCUGUAUUACCGCGGCUGCUGGCAC
RNAcentral lists this ribosomal RNA (292 nucleotides) under uncultured bacterium. RNAcentral describes it as "partial 16S ribosomal RNA". The record is from RNAcentral.